GAGGCAGCAGUGGGGAAUCUUAGACAAUGGGCGCAAGCCUGAUCUAGCCAUGCCGCGUGUGUGAUGAAGGUCUUAGGAUCGUAAAGCACUUUCGCCAGGGAUGAUAAUGACAGUACCUGGUAAAGAAACCCCGGCUAACUCCGUGCCAGCAGCCGCGGUAAUACGGAGGGGGUUAGCGUUGUUCGGAAUUACUGGGCGUAAAGCGUACGUAGGCGGAUUGGAAAGUUGGGGGUGAAAUCCCAGGGCUCAACCCUGGAACUGCCUCCAAAACUAUCAGUCUAGAGUUCGAGAGAGGUGAGUGGAAUUCCAAGUGUAGAGGUGAAAUUCGUAGAUAUUUGGAGGAACACCAGUGGCGAAGGCGGCUCACUGGCUCGAUACUGACGCUGAGGUACGAAAGUGUGGGGAGCAAACAGGAUUAGAUACCCUGGUAGUCCACACCGUAAACGAUGAAUGCCAGUCGUCGGGCAGUAUACUGUUCGGUGGCACACCUAACGGAUUAAGCAUUCCGCCUGGGGA
Molecule: ribosomal RNA, 516 nt
Filed under: uncultured bacterium
Lineage: Bacteria
Description: bacterial SSU rRNA
Rfam family: Bacterial small subunit ribosomal RNA
Source: RNAcentral